GAUGAAGAACGUAGCGAAAUGCGAUAAGUAAUGUGAAUUGCAGAAUUCAGUGAAUCAUCGAAUCUUUGAACGCACAUUGCGCCCGCCAGUAUUCUGGCGGGCAUGCCUGUCCGAGCGUCAUUUCAACCCUCGAACCCCUCCGGGGGGUCGGCGUUGGGGACCUCGGGAGCCCCUAAGACGGGAUCCCGGCCCCGAAAUACAGUGGCGGUCUCGCCGCAGCCUCUCCUGCGCAGUAGUUUGCACAACUCGCACCGGGAGCGCGGCGCGUCCACGUCCGUAAAACACCCAACUUCUGAAAUGUUGACCUCGGAUCAGGUAGGAAUACCCGCUGAACUUAAGCAUAUAAUAAGCGGAGGA
RNAcentral lists this unclassified non-coding RNA (357 nucleotides) under soil metagenome. RNAcentral's name for it is "partial contains 5.8S ribosomal RNA, internal transcribed spacer 2, and large subunit ribosomal RNA". The stretch from base 1 to 120 matches the Rfam family "5.8S ribosomal RNA", at positions 35 to 154 of the family's 154-position model. The record is from RNAcentral.